GGCGGUUACGGUUGCGGCGGU
This 21-nucleotide non-coding RNA is filed under the name Arabidopsis thaliana (thale cress). Lineage: Eukaryota; Viridiplantae; Streptophyta; Magnoliopsida; Brassicales; Brassicaceae. The record is from RNAcentral.